GAUGAACGCUGGCGGCGUGCUUAACACAUGCAAGUCGAACGAUGAAGCCCAGCUUGCUGGGUGGAUUAGUGGCGAACGGGUGAGUAACACGUGAGUAACCUGCCCUUGACUCUGGGAUAGGCCUGGGAAACUGGGUCUAAUACUGGAUAUGACUUCUCAUCGCAUGGUGGGGGGUGGAAAGAUUUAUUGGUCUUGGAUGGACUCGCGGCCUAUCAGCUUGUUGGUGAGGUAAUGGCUCACCAAGGCGACGACGGGUAGCCGGCCUGAGAGGGUGACCGGCCACACUGGGACUGAGACACGGCCCAGACUCCUACGGGAGGCAGCAGUGGGGAAUAUUGCACAAUGGGCGCAAGCCUGAUGCAGCGACGCCGCGUGAGGGAUGACGGCCUUCGGGUUGUAAACCUCUUUCAGUAGGGAAGAAGCGAGAGUGACGGUACCUGCAGAAGAAGCGCCGGCUAACUACGUG
RNAcentral lists this ribosomal RNA (466 nucleotides) under uncultured bacterium. Its description in RNAcentral is "partial 16S ribosomal RNA". It matches the Rfam family "Bacterial small subunit ribosomal RNA", at positions 28 to 507 of the family's 1533-position model. The record is from RNAcentral.